UUUUUGAAAAUAAUAAAAAGUCUAAUCUGCCCACUGAAUUUAUUUAAAGGGCUGCAGUAUAUUGACUGUACAAAGGUAGCAUAAUCAAUAGUCUUUUAAUUGAAGACUUGUAUGAAUGAUUUGAUGAAAUAUGAACUGUCUCUUUUUUAAAAAUAAAAUUUAAUUUUUUAGUUAAAAAGCUAAAAUAAUUAUAAAAGACGAGAAGACCCUAUAGAGUUUUAUAGUUAUUUAAUUUAAAAAUUUUAUAUAUAAUUUAAAUUUAAAAUUAAUUAAUUAUUUUAUUGGGGUGAUAGAAAAAUUAAAAAAACUUUUUUUUAAAAUUUAACAUUAAUUUAUGAAAUUAUGAUCCAUAAUUUAUGAUUAAAAGAAUCAAUUACCUUAGGGAUAACAGCGUAAUUUUUUUUUUUAGUACAAAUAAGAAAAAGAGUUUGCGACCUCGAUGUUGGAUUAAGAUAAAAUUUAAAUGCAAAAGUUUAAAAUUUUUGAUCUGUUCGAUCAUUAAAAUCUUACAUGAUCU
Molecule: ribosomal RNA, 517 nt
Rfam family: Bacterial large subunit ribosomal RNA (bases 384-517)